AAUCUUCCAGGCUCGCCUGCAGGACCUGUGCAAACCUGAACAUUCCUGAAAUUCGGGGGGGAAGCGACCACCUAUCCACCAAGCCCCAGUGGGGGAAGCUGCAGGGCUCUGUCAAAGGCAACAGAGAAAGAGAACAGCUUAUUGAGAGAGGAAGCCACCUCUUGUUUAGCCCCUGUCAUGUUUAUGUUGGAAAAACCCCAGCUUAGUAGUAUGAGAGCUGCAGGAAGAGGCUGCACCUGCGGAUAUGAGGCCCCUGGUCCCCUUCGGGCAGAAGUUACCUUAUCAAGGAGUUUCCAGAAGCACAGCCAGCUCUUGUUGAUGGGCAGGAGCCUCCUUCUCUUAAGACAACACACAGUGGAGACGUGCUUUAGGCUCUUCUAGGGAAAAUUUGCGCCUGUGGCCUGAGUCCAGAACACACCCUAGUCUUCUCUGGAGAGAAGCAGAGUCAGGGAAGGAAGAGAUUGUGUAAUGUGGACAGUGUUCAGUGCUCAUCGCUGAGGAAUCUGAGUGUCAGUUUGCAUUCAUCAUGGGUGGAGGGCUCCGCAGCUGGCGGAAGGCCAGCUGCAGUGUAAAGGUAGGACUCAAUGGUGAAGACUUCCUGGGGUGGAGGAAGUAGAGAAAUCAAAGGACGCUC
RNAcentral lists this long non-coding RNA (634 nucleotides) under Macaca fascicularis (crab-eating macaque). RNAcentral's name for it is "lncRNA (ENSMFAG00000048448.1)". The record is from RNAcentral. Lineage: Eukaryota; Metazoa; Chordata; Mammalia; Primates; Cercopithecidae.